AGGGAAUAUUGGACAAUGGGCGAAAGCCUGAUCCAGCAAUGCCGCGUGAGUGAUGAAGGCCUUAGGGUUGUAAAGCUCUUUUACCCGGGAUGAUAAUGACAGUACCGGGAGAAUAAGCCCCGGCUAACUCCGUGCCAGCAGCCGCGGUAAUACGGAGGGGGCUAGCGUUGUUCGGAAUUACUGGGCGUAAAGCGCGCGUAGGCGGCUUUGUAAGUUAGAGGUGAAAGCCCGGGGCUCAACCCCGGAACUGCCUUUGAAACUAGAUCGCUAGAAUCCUGGAGAGGUUAGUGGAAUUCCGAGUGUAGAGGUGAAAUUCGUAGAUAUUCGGAAGAACACCAGUGGCGAAGGCGACUAACUGGACAGGUAUUGACGCUGAGGUGCGAAAGCGUGGGGAGCGAA
RNAcentral lists this ribosomal RNA (399 nucleotides) under uncultured bacterium. Its description in RNAcentral is "bacterial SSU rRNA". It matches the Rfam family "Bacterial small subunit ribosomal RNA", at positions 356 to 772 of the family's 1533-position model. The record is from RNAcentral.